This 1090-nucleotide long non-coding RNA is filed under the name Chloebia gouldiae (Gouldian finch). Its description in RNAcentral is "Erythrura gouldiae (Gouldian finch) lncRNA (ENSEGOG00005010794.1)". The record is from RNAcentral. Lineage: Eukaryota; Metazoa; Chordata; Aves; Passeriformes; Passeridae.
GGGAUUUUCAGGGUUUUAUUCUUAAUUUUUGGGGGAUUUUUUGUGAUUUUUCAGUAUUUUUGGGGGGCUUUUCGGGGGGAUUUUGAGGAAUUUUCCUGGAAUUUUGGGAGAUUUUUCUGGAUUUUGGGGGGAUUUUUGCGAUUUCUGGGAGUUCCGGGAUUUUUGUGGGCUUUGUCUGGGGAUUUUUUGGUUGUGUUUGUUUUUUUGUGGGUUUUUUUUUUUUUUUACGGUUUUUAUUAUUUUAUUUUUAUUUUUUGGAGGUGUUUUGUGGCUUUUUUUUGUUGUUGUUGUUUUUUUCUCAUUUUUCCCCUGAAAUGGCCAUUUUUUCCCUUUGAAAUUCCCUUUUUUUUUUGCCCUGAAAUUCCAGGUUUUUCCCCCCAAAUUGCCAUUUUUUCCUCCAAAACUCCAUUUUUUCCCCCCAAAACUCCAUUUUUUUCCUUCAAAAUUCCAUUUUUUCCUCCCAAAACUCACAUUUUUUUCGCCAAAAUUCUCAUUUUUCCCCCCAAAAUUCCAUUUUUUCUCCCAAAAUUCUCGUUUUUCCCCAAGACNNNNNNNNNNUUUUUUGGGGGAUUUUUCAGGGGAUUUUCAGGGUUUUAUUCUUAAUUUUUGGGGGAUUUUUUGUGAUUUUUCAGUAUUUUUGGGGGGCUUUUCGGGGGGAUUUUGAGGAAUUUUCCUGGAAUUUUGGGAGAUUUUUCUGGAUUUUGGGGGGAUUUUUGCGAUUUCUGGGAGUUCCGGGAUUUUUGUGGGCUUUGUCUGGGGAUUUUUUGGUUGUGUUUGUUUUUUUGUGGGUUUUUUUUUUUUUUUACGGUUUUUAUUAUUUUAUUUUUAUUUUUUGGAGGUGUUUUGUGGCUUUUUUUUGUUGUUGUUGUUUUUUUCUCAUUUUUCCCCUGAAAUGGCCAUUUUUUCCCUUUGAAAUUCCCUUUUUUUUUUGCCCUGAAAUUCCAGGUUUUUCCCCCCAAAUUGCCAUUUUUUCCUCCAAAACUCCAUUUUUUCCCCCCAAAACUCCAUUUUUUUCCUUCAAAAUUCCAUUUUUUCCUCCCAAAACUCACAUUUUUUUCGCCAAAAUUCUCAUUUUUCCCCCCAAAAUUCC